GAUGAACGCUGGCGGCGUGCCUAAUACAUGCAAGUCGAGCGAACGGACGAGAAGCUUGCUUUUCUGAUGUUAGCGGCGGACGGGUGAGUAACACGUGGAUAACCUACCUAUAAGACUGGGAUAACUUCGGGAAACCGGAGCUAAUACCGGAUAAUAUUUUGAACCGCAUGGUUCAAAAGUGAAAGACGGUCUUGCUGUCACUUAUAGAUGGAUCCGCGCUGCAUUAGCUAGUUGGUAAGGUAACGGCUUACCAAGGCAACGAUGCAUAGCCGACCUGAGAGGGUGAUCGGCCACACUGGAACUGAGACACGGUACAGACUCCUACGGGAGGCAGCAGUAGGGAAUCUUCCGCAAUGGGCGAAAGCCUGACGGAGCAACGCCGCGUGAGUGAUGAAGGUCUUCGGAUCGUAAAACUCUGUUAUUAGGGAAGAACAUAUGUGUAAGUAACUGUGCACAUCUUGACGGUACCUAAUCAGAAAGCCACGGCAACUACGUG
RNAcentral lists this ribosomal RNA (496 nucleotides) under uncultured bacterium. RNAcentral describes it as "partial 16S ribosomal RNA". It matches the Rfam family "Bacterial small subunit ribosomal RNA", at positions 28 to 507 of the family's 1533-position model. The record is from RNAcentral.